CCUACGGGUGGCUGCAGUGGGGAAUAUUGCACAAUGGGCGCAAGCCUGAUGCAGCCAUGCCGCGUGUGUGAAGAAGGCCUUCGGGUUGUAAAGCACUUUCAGCGGGGAGGAAGGCGGUGAGGUUAAUAACCUCAUCGAUUGACGUUACCCGCAGAAGAAGCACCGGCUAACUCCGUGCCAGCAGCCGCGGUAAUACGGAGGGUGCAAGCGUUAAUCGGAAUUACUGGGCGUAAAGCGCACGCAGGCGGUCUGUCAAGUCGGAUGUGAGAUCCCCGGGCUCAACCUGGGAACUGCAUUCGAAACUGGCAGGCUAGAGUCUUGUAGAGGGGGGUAGAAUUCCAGGUGUAGCGGUGAAAUGCGUAGAGAUCUGGAGGAAUACCGGUGGCGAAGGCGGCCCCCUGGACAAAGACUGACGCUCAGGUGCGAAAGCGUGGGGAGCAGACAGGAUUAGAUACCCGUGUAGUC
This 465-nucleotide ribosomal RNA is filed under the name uncultured Klebsiella sp. Its description in RNAcentral is "bacterial SSU rRNA". It matches the Rfam family "Bacterial small subunit ribosomal RNA", at positions 338 to 795 of the family's 1533-position model. Lineage: Bacteria; Pseudomonadati; Pseudomonadota; Gammaproteobacteria; Enterobacterales; Enterobacteriaceae. The record is from RNAcentral.